RNAcentral lists this ribosomal RNA (639 nucleotides) under uncultured Alphaproteobacteria bacterium. RNAcentral's name for it is "bacterial SSU rRNA". It matches the Rfam family "Bacterial small subunit ribosomal RNA", at positions 263 to 915 of the family's 1533-position model. The record is from RNAcentral. Lineage: Bacteria; Pseudomonadati; Pseudomonadota; Alphaproteobacteria.
AUGUGCCGGAGCUAACGCGUUAAGCGAUCCGCCUGGGGAGUACGGUCGCAAGACUGAAACUCAAAGGAAUUGACGGACUCCUACGGGAGGCAGCAGUAGGGAAUCUUGCGCAAUGGGCGAAAGCCUGACGCAGCCAUGCCGCGUGAAUGAUGAAGGUCUUAGGAUUGUAAAAUUCUUUCACCGGGGAAGAUAAUGACGGUACCCGGAGAAGAAGCCCCGGCUAACUUCGUGCCAGCAGCCGCGGUAAUACGAAGGGGGCUAGCGUUGCUCGGAAUUACUGGGCGUAAAGGGCGCGCAGGCGGCCCUUGAAGUCAGGCGUGAAAGCCCCGGGCUCAACCUGGGAGGUGCGCUUGAUACUCGAGGGCUUGAGUGCGGGAGAGGAGAGUGGAAUUCCCAGUGUAGAGGUGAAAUUCGUAGAUAUUGGGAAGAACACCGGUGGCGAAGGCGGCUCUCUGGACCGUAACUGACGCUGAGGCGCGAAAGCGUGGGGAGCAAACAGGAUUAGAUACCCUGGUAGUCCACGCUGUAAACGAUGUGCGCUAGACGUUGGGGGACCUAGUCCUCCGGUGUCGCAGCCAACGCGAUAAGCGCACCGCCUGGGGAGUACGGCCGCAAGGUUAAAACUCAAAGGAAUUGACG